This 501-nucleotide ribosomal RNA is filed under the name Placolecis opaca. RNAcentral's name for it is "SSU rRNA". It matches the Rfam family "Bacterial small subunit ribosomal RNA", at positions 378 to 946 of the family's 1533-position model. The record is from RNAcentral. Lineage: Eukaryota; Fungi; Ascomycota; Lecanoromycetes; Lecanorales; Catillariaceae.
UAAACCAAAAACUAAUUGUAUUAAUGCAAGAUCGACUACGUCGACUAAAGUUCUAGGUAGAAUAAUGAUGAUGACAUUUUUUACCUAUAUGUCUUGACCAAGUCUCGUGCCAGCAGUCGCGGUAAUACGUGGAAGACUAGUGUUAUUCAUCUUUAUUAGGUUUAAAGGGUACCUAGACGGUAUUUCUAGCCCUAGGUACGGAUUUACUAGAGUUUUAUGUGAGGAGGGAGUACUCGUGGAGUAGAGAUGAAAUUUGUGAUACUAUGGAAACUGGUGGCGAAAGCAACCUUCUAUGUAAAAACUGACGUUGAGGGACGAAGGCUUGGGUAGCAAAUAGGAUUAGAUACCCUAGUAGUCCAAGCAGACAAUUAUGAAUGUCAUAGAUUAGAUUAUUUUUGGUCUAUAAAUGAAAGUGUAAGCAUUCCACCUCAGGAGUAAUGUGGCAACACAGGAACUGAAAUCAUUAGACCGUUUCUGAAACCAGUAGUGAAGUAUGUUAUC